AGGUUUUCAGUGUUUGGGUUCCAAGUUGUUUGAGUACCAAGGUGUUUGAGAACCAAGGUACCACUGUACAGGUUUUACUUCACAAUCACAUUAGUCUGCAUGAUAAUUCCUAGCAUUCCUUGUGAAUUCUCAAGUCUUCCUGUGAUUAGCAAAGUAUAAUGUUUAGCAGGAGGCUUGCAAACAAUUAAGCUCCACAUUUGUCCAGCCAAAGUAUAUAUUAAAAAAUAACAUAUAGUACAUCUCUCCUGUAAUCAUACGACUUCAGAAUGUAAUGGGAAAAUGCAUCGUUGAAAGCUUCUCUGUGUAAAAAUCAUAAUAAAAUCAUUGCACAUAGAAAACUAGCAAGUAAGUAUGAAGGGUCCUAGCUUAGCCUUCUUCCCAGUAUGCUAGUUUUUCCCAUUUAGAAUGGUGUUGUUGUUUGUUUGCUUCCUUGUAUUUUUUAAAACAAACAAUCAAGCAUGCCAUUCUCUCAUCUGCGUUCUGAAAUGGUACUGUCCCAGGAGACUUACUCUAAUUUCUGUACUAGUUGUGAAGUACACUGAAUAACAGUAGCAUCUCUGUAUUUUAAUGGUGAUUCAUACUGGGCUAAUUUCUAUGCCUCUCAGGGUGCUUACAGAUGUGGGCUUAAUAUUACAAAAAGGCUAUUGAGACAUUGCAAAUAGGGCAUUGUAACUUGCUGGAUUUUCCCUUUUCUGGAAAAUCCUGAUUAAAGGUGGGAGGAGGAAAUAUGGAGCAAUAUUUUGAUGUCAAUAGCAUUGUAUUGCAUGCACAAUGAACACCAUUCCCCCAUAAACACCUGUCUGGAAGCAA
This is a non-coding RNA of Podarcis muralis (Common wall lizard), 810 nucleotides long. The record is from RefSeq and is a predicted model, not a curated record. Lineage: Eukaryota; Metazoa; Chordata; Lepidosauria; Squamata; Lacertidae.